UCGAGCGCACCUUCGGGUGAGCGGCGGACGGGUUAGUAACGCGUGGGAACAUACCCUUUGGUACGGAAUAGCCUCUGGAAACGGAGAGUAAUACCGUAUGAGCCCUUCGGGGGAAAGAUUUAUCGCCAAAGGAUUGGCCCGCGUUAGAUUAGGUAGUUGGUGGGGUAAUGGCCUACCAAGCCUACGAUCUAUAGCUGGUUUUAGAGGAUGAUCAGCAACACUGGGACUGAGACACGGCCCAGACUCCUACGGGAGGCAGCAGUGGGGAAUCUUGGACAAUGGGGGCAACCCUGAUCCAGCCAUGCCGCGUGAGUGAUGAAGGCCUUAGGGUCGUAAAGCUCUUUCGCCUGUGAAGAUAAUGACGGUAGCAGGUAAAGAAACCCCGGCUAACUCCGUGCCAGCAGCCGCGGUAAUACGGAGGGGGUUAGCGUUGUUCGGAAUUACUGGGCGUAAAGCGCACGUAGGCGGACUGGAAAGUUGGGGGUGAAAUCCCAGGGCUCAACCCUGGAACUGCCUCCAAAACUAUCAGUCUAGAGUUCGAGAGAGGUGAGUGGAAUUCCGAGUGUAGAGGUGAAAUUCGUAGAUAUUCGGAGGAACACCAGUGGCGAAGGCGGCUCACUGGCUCGAUACUGACGCUGAGGUGCGAAAGUGUGGGGAGCAAACAGGAUUAGAUACCCUGGUAGUCCACACCGUAAACGAUGAAUGCCAGUCGUCGGGUAGCAUGCUAUUCGGUGACACACCUAACGGAUUAAGCAUUCC
This 759-nucleotide ribosomal RNA is filed under the name Ruegeria sp. Rg102. RNAcentral describes it as "bacterial SSU rRNA". It matches the Rfam family "Bacterial small subunit ribosomal RNA", at positions 62 to 870 of the family's 1533-position model. Lineage: Bacteria; Pseudomonadati; Pseudomonadota; Alphaproteobacteria; Rhodobacterales; Roseobacteraceae. The record is from RNAcentral.